RNAcentral lists this non-coding RNA (146 nucleotides) under Anolis carolinensis (green anole). Its description in RNAcentral is "Eukaryotic large subunit ribosomal RNA". It matches the Rfam family "Eukaryotic large subunit ribosomal RNA", at positions 813 to 954 of the family's 3401-position model. The record is from Rfam by way of RNAcentral. Lineage: Eukaryota; Metazoa; Chordata; Lepidosauria; Squamata; Anolidae.
GACCCAAAACAUUGUGAGCUAUACCUGACCAGAGUGAAAUCAGAUGAAAGUUUGAUGGAGGUCUAUAGUAAUCCUGGCCUGCAAAGUAGUCAUUUGUUCAACCUGGGUAUAGGGGUGAAAGACUGAUCAAAGCAUUUAAUAGCUAG